GGACUACCCGGGUAUCUAAUCCCGUUUGCUCCCCUGGCUUUCGCGCCUCAGCGUCAGAAGGUGUCCAGCACGUCGCUUUCGCCACCGGCGUUCCUUCCGAUAUCUACGCAUUUCACCGCUCCACCGGAAGUUCCACAUGCCCCUACACCCCUCCAGACCAACAGUAUCCGAAGCACUUCUCCGGUUAAGCCGAAGUAUUUCACCCCGGACUUGCUGGCCCGCCUACGCGCCCUUUAAGCCCAGUGAUUCCGAACAACGUUCGCACGGUUCGUCUUACCGCGGCUGCUGGCAC
RNAcentral lists this ribosomal RNA (292 nucleotides) under uncultured Planctomycetota bacterium. RNAcentral's name for it is "uncultured planctomycete partial 16S ribosomal RNA". Lineage: Bacteria; Pseudomonadati; Planctomycetota. The record is from RNAcentral.